RNAcentral lists this small RNA (107 nucleotides) under Marmota monax (woodchuck). Lineage: Eukaryota; Metazoa; Chordata; Mammalia; Rodentia; Sciuridae. The record is from RNAcentral.
GCUGGGCAUGGUGGUACACGCCUGUAAUCCCAGCUACUUGGGAGGCUAAGGCAGAAGGAUCACAAGUUUGAGGUCAGCCUGGACAGUAUACUGAGAUCCUGUCUCAA